GUAGGGUGCGAGCGUUAAUCGGAAUUACUGGGCGUAAAGCGAGCGCAGACGGUUAAAUAAGUCAGAUGUGAAAUCCCCGAGCUCAACUUGGGACGUGCAUUUGAAACUGUGUAACUAGAGUGUGUCAGAGGGAGGUAGAAUUCCACGUGUAGCAGUGAAAUGCGUAGAGAUGUGGAGGAAUACCGAUGGCGAAGGCAGCCUCCUGGUAUAACACUGACGUUCAUGCUCGAAAGUGUGGGUAGCAAACAGGAUUAGAUACCCUGGUAGUCCACGCCCUAAACGAUGACAAUUAGCUGUUGGGGUACUAGUUACCUUAGUAGCGAACUAACGCGUGAAAUUGUCCGCCUGGGGAGUACGGUCGAAAGAUUA
RNAcentral lists this ribosomal RNA (369 nucleotides) under uncultured bacterium. RNAcentral describes it as "bacterial SSU rRNA". It matches the Rfam family "Bacterial small subunit ribosomal RNA", at positions 527 to 896 of the family's 1533-position model. The record is from RNAcentral.